RNAcentral lists this ribosomal RNA (253 nucleotides) under uncultured bacterium. RNAcentral describes it as "partial 16S ribosomal RNA". It matches the Rfam family "Bacterial small subunit ribosomal RNA", at positions 524 to 776 of the family's 1533-position model. The record is from RNAcentral.
UACGUAGGGUGCAAGCGUUGUCCGGAAUUAUUGGGCGUAAAGAGCUUGUAGGCGGUCUGUCGCGUCGAAUGUGAAAACCCGGGGCUCAACCCCGGGCCUGCAUUCGAUACGGGCAGACUAGAGUUCGGUAGGGGAGUCUGGAAUUCCUGGUGUAGCGGUGAAAUGCGCAGAUAUCAGGAGGAACACCGGUGGCGAAGGCGGGACUCUGGGCCGAUACUGACGCUGAGGAGCGAAAGCGUGGGGAGCAAACAGG